GAUGAAGAACGUAGUGAAAUGCGAUAAGUAAUGUGAAUUGCAGAAUUCAGUGAAUCAUCGAAUCUUUGAACGCACAUUGCGCCCGCCAGUAUUCUGGCGGGCAUGCCUGUUCGAGCGUCAUUUCAACCAUCAAGCCCCCGGCUUGUGUUGGGGACCUGCGGCUGCCGCAGGCCCUGAAAUGCAGUGGCGGGCUCGCUGUCACUCCGAGCGUAGUAGUUACAUCUCGCUCUGGGCGUGCUGCGGGUUCCGGCCGUUAAAAGCCUUAUUUACCCAAGGUUGACCUCGGAUCAGGUAGGAAGACCCGCUGAACUUAAGCAUAUCAAUAAGCGUAGGA
RNAcentral lists this unclassified non-coding RNA (334 nucleotides) under soil metagenome. RNAcentral's name for it is "partial contains 5.8S ribosomal RNA, internal transcribed spacer 2, and large subunit ribosomal RNA". The stretch from base 1 to 120 matches the Rfam family "5.8S ribosomal RNA", at positions 35 to 154 of the family's 154-position model. The record is from RNAcentral.